This 75-nucleotide transfer RNA is filed under the name Pseudomonadota bacterium. RNAcentral's name for it is "tRNA-Asn". It matches the Rfam family "tRNA". Rfam says of the family: Transfer RNA (tRNA) molecules are approximately 80 nucleotides in length. Their secondary structure includes four short double-helical elements and three loops (D, anti-codon, and T loops). The record is from RNAcentral. Lineage: Bacteria; Pseudomonadati; Pseudomonadota. RNAcentral also lists the same sequence under 1 other name.
UCCGGGGUGGCGCAGCGGUAGCGCAGAGGACUGUUAAUCCUUUGGUCGUGGGUUCGAAUCCCACCCCCGGAGCCA